UUUUUUUUAAAUCUUCCCUAAAAAUGUUUCUGGUUGUUUUUCUCUUUGUUUGUAUACUUUAUCAUUUCACAAUGAAGGUAGAAAAGCUUCUGACAUCAUUUAUCUUUGUUAUAGAUGAGAACCUGCAUUUUAACAGGGUGUGUAAACUUUUUACAUCCAAUGUAUACGGUGACCUCAUCUGUUUUUAUCUCUGUCUACAGCAUCAGAAAUUACCACCAUUUCCCCUGACACUUAUACUGAGUCAGCUGGAGGCCUUGUGUUUGUUUCCCCUGACACUUAUACUGAGUCAGCUGGAGGCCUUGUGUUUGUACUGGGUUUGUCAUGUGCGAUUGUGUUACUGGUCAUUUUGGCGUUGGCUCUGCCCUGGUACAUGGUUUGCAGGAGAGGAACGUAUCAUACACAAGAGCAAAAUGAUGCAGAAGAUCCAAAAAACGAACCCGAUGAGUCCUCAGAUGAAGAGCUGUGAACAUCAUCAUCAUCAUCAUCAUUAUCAUCAUUUCUUCAUAAUGUCUCCUGCUCGAUAUGGACUUGUGGACAUGUUGGAUAUUUAUCAUAUUUCUUCUGUCCACUAUCGUUCCUUUUAAGUUCCAAGAGAUUUCUUCUUUUUUUAUUUUAUUUUAAUUCAUGUGUUAUCAACUUCUUUGUUCUCUUCACGUCAUUGGUCUCUAAAAGGAAUCUGUGUUCUGAUUGGUUGAGAGCAUCGGCGGCGAUGGCUUUAGUGUUUAGCGAUAAAAUGAUGAAUUAUAAAUAUUUUGGUAGCACACUUAAAGUUUUGGUCCCAACUAGAUAAGAACUUUUUCUUUUCAAUUAAGAGACUUUUUUAUUAUUUUUUUUAUUUCAUUAGAUCAUCUUUAUUUCAUCCGUGUCUCUGCCUUUAACAGCUCCUUCAUCCUGAACAUGUCCAAUCCACACACAUCAAAUAUUCAGCGGGACAGAAAAUGUUCCUUUUGCUCGUCCAAAUGUUUUAUUAAUCUUCUAAUAUCUUUUACUUUUAAAAAAAGAAUUUUUUUUUUUUAAAAAAGAGCCUGGACUUUGAAGCUCUCAUCUCACACAUGAAGAGAAAUCUUUCCUUGUGGAUAAAAUCAGCGUCGAACUGAUUAAAAAGUGAUUUAUUUUAAACCACAUUUUGAAACCAUGUAGUUAUUUAAAUAUAACAUGAGACAGGAAAUGAAAAAGAGAAAGAAUUGUGACAGAAUGUUAAUAGUGAAGUUACAGCGGAUUAAAAAUAAAUAAAUGCGCAC
Molecule: long non-coding RNA, 1241 nt
Organism: Ictalurus punctatus (channel catfish)
Lineage: Eukaryota; Metazoa; Chordata; Actinopteri; Siluriformes; Ictaluridae
Source: Ensembl